UACGUAGGGUGCGAGCGUUGUCCGGAUUUAUUGGGCGUAAAGAGCUCGUAGGCGGUUUGUUGCGUCGGCCGUGAAAACCUGCAGCUUAACUGUGGGCUUGCGGUCGAUACGGGCAGACUUGAGUUCGGUAGGGGAGACUGGAAUUCCUGGUGUAGCGGUGAAAUGCGCAGAUAUCAGGAGGAACACCGGUGGCGAAGGCGGGUCUCUGGGCCGAUACUGACGCUGAGGAGCGAAAGCGUGGGGAGCGAACAGG
Molecule: ribosomal RNA, 253 nt
Filed under: uncultured bacterium
Lineage: Bacteria
Description: partial 16S ribosomal RNA
Rfam family: Bacterial small subunit ribosomal RNA
Source: RNAcentral